RNAcentral lists this ribosomal RNA (252 nucleotides) under uncultured bacterium. Its description in RNAcentral is "partial 16S ribosomal RNA". It matches the Rfam family "Bacterial small subunit ribosomal RNA", at positions 524 to 776 of the family's 1533-position model. The record is from RNAcentral.
UACGAAGGGGGCUAGCGUUGCUCGGAAUCACUGGGCGUAAAGGGUGCGUAGGCGGGUCUUUAAGUCAGGGGUGAAAUCCUGGAGCUCAACUCCAGAACUGCCUUUGAUACUGAGGAUCUUGAGUUCGGGAGAGGUGAGUGGAACUGCGAGUGUAGAGGUGAAAUUCGUAGAUAUUCGCAAGAACACAGUGGCGAAGGCGGCUCACUGGCCCGAUACUGACGCUGAGGCACGAAAGCGUGGGGAGCAAACAGG